AUUGAACGCUGGCGGCAGGCUUAACACAUGCAAGUCGAACGAUGAAGAUAUAGCUUGCUAUAUCGGAUUAGUGGCGGACGGGUGAGUAACACUUAGGAAUCUACCUUUUAGCGGGGGAUAGCUCGGGGAAACUCGAAUUAAUACCGCAUAAUUUCUACGGAAUAAAGAGGGCUUUUAGCUCUCACUAGAAGAUGAGCCUAAGUAAGAUUAGCUAGUUGGUGGGGUAAAAGCCUACCAAGGCGACGAUCUUUAGCUGGUCUGAGAGGAUGAUCAGCCACACUGGGACUGAGACACGGCCCAGACUCCUACGGGAGGCAGCAGUGGGGAAUAUUGGACAAUGGGGGCAACCCUGAUCCAGCCAUGCCGCGUGUGUGAAGAAGGCCUUUUGGUUGUAAAGCACUUUAAGCAGUGAAGAAGACCUAUUGGUUAACACCCAAUAGCGAUGACAUUAACUGCAGAAUAAGCACCGGCUAACUCUGUGCCAGCAGCCGCGGUAAUACAGAGGGUGCAAGCGUUAAUCGGAAUUACUGGGCGUAAAGCGAGCGUAGGUGGUUAAAUAAGUCAGAUGUGAAAGCCCUGGGCUCAACCUAGGAACGGCAUCUGAAACUAUUUAACUAGAGUAGGUGAGAGGGAAGUAGAAUUUCAGGUGUAGCGGUGAAAUGCGUAGAGAUCUGAAGGAAUACCGAUGGCGAAGGCAGCUUCCUGGCAUCAUACUGACACUGAGGCUCGAAAGCGUGGGUAGCAAACAGG
RNAcentral lists this ribosomal RNA (750 nucleotides) under uncultured bacterium. RNAcentral describes it as "bacterial SSU rRNA". It matches the Rfam family "Bacterial small subunit ribosomal RNA", at positions 28 to 776 of the family's 1533-position model. The record is from RNAcentral.